UAUUUCUCCCUCCCUCUGUUAGCUCC
RNAcentral lists this non-coding RNA (26 nucleotides) under Cricetulus griseus (Chinese hamster). Lineage: Eukaryota; Metazoa; Chordata; Mammalia; Rodentia; Cricetidae. The record is from RNAcentral.